RNAcentral lists this ribosomal RNA (429 nucleotides) under Fusobacteriota bacterium. RNAcentral describes it as "Fusobacteria bacterium partial 16S ribosomal RNA". It matches the Rfam family "Bacterial small subunit ribosomal RNA", at positions 355 to 776 of the family's 1533-position model. Lineage: Bacteria; Fusobacteriati; Fusobacteriota. The record is from RNAcentral.
UAGGGAAUCUUCGGCAAUGGACGAAAGUCUGACCGAGCAACGCCGCGCGAGUGAAGAAGGUUUUCGGAUCGUAAAACUCUGUUGUUAGAGAAGAACAAGGACGUUAGUAACUGAACGUCCCCUGACGGUAUCUAACCAGAAAGCCACGGCUAACUACGUGCCAGCAGCCGCGGUAAUACGUAUGUUGCAAGCGUUGUCCGGAUUUAUUGGGCGUAAAGCGAGCGCAGGCGGUUUCUUAAGUCUGAUGUGAAAGCCCCCGGCUCAACCGGGGAGGGUCAUUGGAAACUGGGAUACUGGAGUGCAGAAGAGGAGAGUGGAAUUCCAUGUGUAGCGGUGAAAUUCGUAGAUAUAUGGAGGAGCACCAGUGGCGAAAGCGGCUCUCUGGUCUGUAACUGACGCUGAGACUCGAAAGCGUGGGGAGCAAGCAGG